CGAGCGCAACCCUUAUCCUUUGUUGCCAGCGGUCCGGCCGGGAACUCAAAGGAGACUGCCAGUGAUAAACUGGAGGAAGGUGGGGAUGACGUCAAGUCAUCAUGGCCCUUACGACCAGGGCUACACACGUGCUACAAUGGCGCAUACAAAGAGAAGCGACCUCGCGAGAGCAAGCGGACCUCAUAAAGUGCGUCGUAGUCCGGAUUGGAGUCUGCAACUCGACUCCAUGAAGUCGGAAUCGCUAGUAAUCGUGGAUCAGAAUGCCACGGUGAAUACGUUCCCGGGCCUUGUACACACCGCCCGUCACACCAUGGGAGUGGGUUGCAAAAGAAGUAGGUAGCUUAACCUUCGGGAGGGCGCUUACCACUUUGUGAUUCAUGACUGGGGUGAAGUCGUAACAAGGUAACCGUAGGGGAACCUGCGGUUGGAUCAC
This 433-nucleotide ribosomal RNA is filed under the name Escherichia coli. RNAcentral's name for it is "bacterial SSU rRNA". It matches the Rfam family "Bacterial small subunit ribosomal RNA", at positions 1093 to 1526 of the family's 1533-position model. Lineage: Bacteria; Pseudomonadati; Pseudomonadota; Gammaproteobacteria; Enterobacterales; Enterobacteriaceae. The record is from RNAcentral.